UGGGUAACCUGCCUCAAAGAGGGGAAUAGCCUCCCGAAAGGGAGAUUAAUACCGCAUAAUAUGUUUAGGUCGCAUGACUUUAACAUCAAAGGAUUUUCUUUUAGAAAUUCCACUUUGAGAUGGACCCGCGGCGCAUUAGCUAGUUGGUGAGGUAACGGCUCACCAAGGCAACGACGGGUANCUGGU
This 186-nucleotide ribosomal RNA is filed under the name uncultured bacterium. Its description in RNAcentral is "partial 16S ribosomal RNA". It matches the Rfam family "Bacterial small subunit ribosomal RNA", at positions 118 to 291 of the family's 1533-position model. The record is from RNAcentral.